Molecule: ribosomal RNA, 528 nt
Filed under: uncultured Methylophilus sp.
Lineage: Bacteria; Pseudomonadati; Pseudomonadota; Betaproteobacteria; Nitrosomonadales; Methylophilaceae
Description: bacterial SSU rRNA
Rfam family: Bacterial small subunit ribosomal RNA
Source: RNAcentral
AGGGUUUGAUCAUGGCUCAGAUUGAACGCUGGCGGAAUGCUUUACACAUGCAAGUCGAACGGCAGCACGGAGAGCUUGCUCUCUGGUGGCGAGUGGCGAACGGGUGAGUAAUAUAUCGGAACGUGUCCAAUAAUGGGGGAUAACGAGUCGAAAGAUUCGCUAAUACCGCAUACGCCCUACGGGGGAAAGCAGGGGAUCGUAAGACCUUGCGUUAAUGGAGCGGCCGAUAUCUGAUUAGCUUGUUGGUGAGGUAAAGGCUCACCAAGGCGACGAUCAGUAGCUGGUUUGAGAGAACGACCAGCCACACUGGAACUGAGACACGGUCCAGACUCCUACGGGAGGCAGCAGUGGGGAAUUUUGGACAAUGGGGGCAACCCUGAUCCAGCCAUUCCGCGUGAGUGAAGAAGGCCUUCGGGUUGUAAAGCUCUUUCGCAAGGGAAGAAAACUUAUGAUCGAAUAAAUCAUGAGGUUGACGGUACCUUGAUAAGAAGCACCGGCUAACUACGUGCCAGCAGCCGCGGUAAUACA